This 3961-nucleotide long non-coding RNA is filed under the name Salmo salar (Atlantic salmon). RNAcentral's name for it is "lncRNA (ENSSSAG00000084734.1)". Lineage: Eukaryota; Metazoa; Chordata; Actinopteri; Salmoniformes; Salmonidae. The record is from RNAcentral.
GUUCAUUCUCGCAAUCGCUCUCUUGCUGUGUCCCCAUCGCUGUAUUGAUCUCUUUUGUUUUUUCAACUACAUGUCACAUUUGUCCGGUAAUCCUUGUUGGCUUUGCACUGGCUGACGCAAUGUCUGUUCCGGAAGAGAGAAACGACCUGAUCAGACCAGGUUGGAAGGUCAUCAGGAACUGUGUGACAGUGACGACGACCAUGGUGGAUGAGUUUGACAACAUGCCGAAGCAGGAGAAGGAGACGGUUCAGAUCUUCGGGGGACCAGAGUGUGAGAACAACGAGAGAAGCAAAAGAGGAUUUGUUCGCAUCGGUCGACAACUCUCCAAUUACUGAAGUCUUGAGUGGCAUCACCUGGAGAAGACUGGCCUGUCCUCCCCAGUUUACGUACGUGACCCUUGACUGUGGGUAUCCGGUGACAGUGGACGAUCCAGUACAGUGACGGGCAGUGAAGACGACAUGGGAAUGUGGGAUAAUCAUGAAUUAAAGUUCAAUUUAUUGGAUUCACUCUAACUACUGUCCUAGUCUGAAAAGUGUCACACUAUACCCUAUGUUUUGCAGAUUUAAUGGUCAUAAUUAGUUUUCUUCUCUGUUAUGUACUUUCUGGUAACUCUCCCUAACUGUGACGACUCUAAGGCCAUACUGUAAUGUAUAUGAAUACAGUAUUGAAAAGUAACCUUGAAUUAUCAUAAUGUACGUUGUUAACGCUCACAUUUAUAAUGUUGUUGCAUAGGAUAGGUCUGAUAUGGAAUACUUCUAAUAUGAUCAAGAUAACAAAAUACUCAUCUAAGGUCAGUUUUGUGUGGGUUUCUCCCUAGGGUGUAGAAUUAUAGGCAGGGUUUCUCCCUGGGGUGUAGAAUUAUAGGCAGGGUUUCUCCCUGGGGUGUAGAAUUAUAGGCAGGGUUUCUCCCUGGGGUGUAGAAUUAUAGGCAGGGUUUCUCCCUGGGGUGUAGAAUUAUAGGCAGGGUUUCUCCAUGGGGUGUAGAAUUAUAGGCAGGGUUUCUCCCUGGGGUGUAGAAUUAUAGGCAGGGUUUCUCCCUGGGGUGUAGAAUUAUAGGCAGGGUUUCUCCCUGGGGUUUAGAAUUAUAGGCAGGGUUUCUCCCUGGGGUUUAGAAUUAUAGGCAGGGUUUCUCCCUGGGGUUUAGAAUUAUAGGCAGGGUUUCUCACUAGGGUUCAGGAUUUAAGGUAGCUAAGACAAGUCUAGAGUUGAAUAUUUAAAGUAGAGUUUCUCCAUAGGGUUAAGAUUUGGGGGAGGGCAAACCUAGGGUUUAGGAUUUAAGGUACCUAGGGUAAGCCUAGAGUAGGGUUUCUCCACAGUGUUUAGGAUUUGGGGGAGGACAAACCUAGGGUUUAGGAUUCAAGGUAGCUAGGGCAAGUUUAGGGUUUAUGAUUUAGAGUUUAUCUGUAGGGUUUAGGAAUAGGGUGAGGGCAUGCUGAUAAAUUUAUUCCCAGAGCAUAUUAAGCUGUGCUACACUAAGUGCUUAAGGUUAACUCUAAAUGUCUAGGAUCAGGUUAAUAUCCUAAUCUCAAUAUAUUUGAUAUUUUGGUAUUUAUUAGAAUCCCCAUUAGCCGCUGCAAAAUAAUCAGCUACACUUCCGGGUGUCCACAUGAAACAUAAAAUAAUACAGAACAUUAUUAGUCAAAAACUGAAAUAAAUACAUGUAACUCUGCCUACAAUGGUCACACUCCCACGGAAAUCUAAUUAACAUAAUAUAAAAAAAUCUGUCUGUUUAAGCUAGAGAGAUGUUUUUUUUCCGCAUGGGCCAAUAUCGCACUUCAGUAUCUCCGGUGAAAGAUGGCAGAGCUAGAGUGGGGUUUGUCAGACCAUGAGACAUCCUGAAAUUCAGUAUUUCACAAAAUCGUAUGUAGUGUCCGAACGGUUUGGCCUACAAACUAUUGUACAACCAUACUGAAAGUUGAGACUCUCUCAAACACAAGUGUUCUCCGUUUUGUUGUAGGGUACCCACUAGCCUCACAAGACUAGUCUGCAUGUCCCCAGUACCAGUUUAAAAAAUGAAUGGAAGUAUUAGUGCCUAAAAUAAGGGGAUAAAUAUAACAAGAAAUAUAUACACUACCGGUCAAAACUUUUAUAACACCUACGGGUUUUUCUUUAAUUUUACUAUAUUCUACAUUGUAGGAUAAUAGUGAAGACAUCAACACAAUGAAAUAACACAUGGAAUCACGUAGUAACCCAAAAAAUAUUAAUGUCACGAUUGUCGUAAUAAUUGGACCAAGGCGCAGCGGGAGUAGCGUUCCACAUCUUUAUUAAAAUGUGAAACUUAGCAAAAUACAAAAAACAAAUAAAUAAAUAAAUGAACAAACAAAACGUGAAGAUGGUGAAGUGCAAAAAGGCACCUACACAAAAACAAUAUCCCACAAACACAGGUGGGAAAAAUAACUACUUAAAUAUGAUCCCCAAUUAGAGACAACGAUUACCAGCUGCCUCUAAUUGGGAAUCAUAAAAAAUCACCAACAUAGAAAUCAUAACCUAGAACCCCACAUAGAAAUAAUAAACUUGAAUACCCCCCAGUCACGCCUUGACCUACUUCACCAUAGAGAAACAAUGGCUCUCUAUGGUCAGGGCAUGACAGUUAAACAAAUUCUUCAAAUAGCCACCAUUUGCCUUGAUGACAGCUUUGCACACUCUUGGCAUUCUCACAAUCAGCUUCAUAAGGUAGUCACCUGGAAUGCAUUUCAAUUAACAGGUGUGCCUUCUUAAAAGUUAAUUUGUGGAAUUUCUUUCCUUCUUAAUGCGUUUGAGCCAAUCAGUUGUUUUGUGACAAGGUAGGGGGUGUAUACAGAAGAUAUCCCUAUUUGGUAAAAGACCAAGUGCAUAUCAUGGCAAUAACAGUUCAAAUAAGAAAAGAGAAACGACAGUCCAUCCUUACUUUAAGACAUGAAGGUCAGUCAAUGCGGAAAAUGUCAGUCGCAAAAACCAUCAAGAGCUAUGAUGAAACUGGCUCUCAUGAGGACUGCCACAGGAAAGAAACACCCAGAGUUACCUCUGCUGCAGAGGAUAAGUUCAUUAGACUUACCAGCCUUAGAAAUUGCAGGCCAAAUAAAUGCUUCACAGAGUUCAAGUACUGUAACAGACACAUAUCAACAUCAAAUGUUCAGAGGAGACUGUGUGAAUCAGGCCAUGGUUGAAUUGGUGCAAAGAAAUCAAUAAGAAGAAAACACUUGCUUGGGCCAAGAAAAACAAGGAAUGGAUAUAUUUCCACCGGUCUAAUGUCCUUUCCUUGUUUUUCUUGGCCCAAGCAAGUGUUUUCUUCUUAUUGAUUUCGUUGCAUCAAUUUUCUGACAUUGAGGAGGUGUGAUGGUGUGGGGUGCUUUGCUGGUGACACUGUCUGUGAUUUAUUUAGAAUUCAAGGCACACUUAAUGAGCAUGGCUACCACAGCAUUCUGCAGCAGUACGCCAUCCCAUCUGGUUUGUGCUUAGUGGGACUAUCAUUUGUUUUUCAAUAGGACAAUGACCCAACACACCUCCAGGCUGUGUAAAGGCUAUUUGACCAAGGAGAUUGAUGGAGUGCUUCAUCAGAUGACCUGGUCUCCACAACCACCCGACCUAAACCCAAUUGGGAUGGUUUGGGAUGAGUUGAACCACAGAGUGAAGGAAAAGAAGCCAACAACUCCUUCAAGACUUUUGGAAAAGCAUUCCAGGUGAAGCUGGUUGAGAGAAUGCCCAGAGUGUGCAAAGCUGUCAACAAGGCAAAGGGUGGCUACUUUGACAAAUCUAAAAUAUAUUUUUCAUUUGUUUAACACUUUUUUGCUUACUACAUGAUUCCAUAUGUGUUUUUUUCCUAGUUUUGAUGUCUUCACUAUUAUUCUACAAUGUAGAAAAAAGUAAAUUAAAUAAAUAAAAACCCUGGAAUGGGUAGGUGUGUCCAAACUUUUGACUGGUACUGUAUAUAUUUCUUAAUUCCCUUCUUUUACUUUUGUAUUGUUGUGAAUUGUUACAUACU